AUUGAACGCUGGCGGCAGGCCUAACACAUGCAAGUCGAGCGGAUGAAGGGAGCUUGCUCCUGGAUUCAGCGGCGGACGGGUGAGUAAUGCCUAGGAAUCUGCCUGGUAGUGGGGGAUAACGUCCGGAAACGGGCGCUAAUACCGCAUACGUCCUGAGGGAGAAAGUGGGGGAUCUUCGGACCUCACGCUAUCAGAUGAGCCUAGGUCGGAUUAGCUAGUUGGUGGGGUAAAGGCCUACCAAGGCGACGAUCCGUAACUGGUCUGAGAGGAUGAUCAGCCACACUGGAACAGAGACACGGGCUGGAUGCCUACGGGAGGCAGCAGUCGGGAAUUUUCUGGAAUGGUCGAGGUCUGGACGGAGCAACGCUGCGGGAGUGAUGAAGGUCUUUGGAUCGUAAACCUCUGUGAUUACCGAAGAAGAAAUGUCUACGUAUCUAUGCAUGCCUGCACGCGACCUAAUCAGAGAGCCACCGCUACCUACGUC
RNAcentral lists this ribosomal RNA (484 nucleotides) under uncultured bacterium. RNAcentral describes it as "partial 16S ribosomal RNA". It matches the Rfam family "Bacterial small subunit ribosomal RNA", at positions 30 to 507 of the family's 1533-position model. The record is from RNAcentral.